CUCCAAACAUGUAUUAGAAACCACCGUUUGCUGUUCUUCGUCUUCUGUUCUCUGAUGAUCAUCAUGUUCUGGAGGAACACAGCAGUUCUGAUCCUGAUCCAGCUGAUUCAGGCUCAGCAGGUGUUUGCAGCUCCAUCGUUUACUGAACACAGAAGCCUGGAGGUUUCCAGAGGAGAUUCAGUCACUUUGACUUGUAACGUGUCUGUGGAAGAAGCAACAGAAAUCAAAUGGACCAAAAACAAUUUAUUAUUUCAUCAUUCCGUCAUUCUCAACGCCACAGUUUCAAAUUUCUCUUUUUCUAACAUCAGAAUCGAGACCGACCUCCCUACAAAGUUAAUGUUUCUGAAUGUUCAGGAUGAAGAUGAAGGAUUUUAUAAUUGUACUGUAACUGACAGUAAAGGAUUUAAAGGAAUUACAUGGAAGUUAAAUCUGCUCGAGAAAAGUAAAGGUUUGUAUUGUUUGACUGGAAAAGUUGAAGUAGACAAACUGUAAACUACUGACAUGACGUUUUUAUUUUUUAAUUUAUUUUCAGGAAUCAGAUUUUUAAUUCGUCCCUAUCUAGUAGCCCUGAUUGGAGCAGCGAUUCCUCUGUUUUUUCUGCCCUUUUAGUCGUCUGCUUCUACAGGUGAGUUUUUCCCGUUCAGACAUAAACUGCGUUCUAAAUUCUUAAUGCAGGUGACAACAUAUUUUUCAAGACUCGUACUGUUGGAGUAUAAAUAAAUGUUAUUUAAGC
RNAcentral lists this long non-coding RNA (733 nucleotides) under Oryzias javanicus (javanese ricefish). RNAcentral's name for it is "lncRNA (ENSOJAG00000008385.1)". The record is from RNAcentral. Lineage: Eukaryota; Metazoa; Chordata; Actinopteri; Beloniformes; Adrianichthyidae.